This is an RNA transcript of Fukomys damarensis (Damara mole-rat), 568 nucleotides long. It is a transcript of the gene named coiled-coil domain containing 200, with no coding region annotated. The transcript is spliced from 5 exons. The record is from RefSeq and is a predicted model, not a curated record. NCBI's taxonomy places the organism in Eukaryota, Metazoa, Chordata, Mammalia, Rodentia, Bathyergidae.
GAGGGCACAUGGGGGCGGGUGGGGUCCUGGGCUCCCCGGGCCGGGCCCCAGCAUGGGCAGUGCCUACCAUUGGGAGGCCCGGCGCAGGCAGAUGGCUCUGGACAGGAGGCAGAGGCUGCUGGCUGAGCAGGAGCAACAGGCACUGAAGAAAGGCCAGGAGGAGGAGGAACAGCCCUCUGAGAGACCCCAGCCACAGCCGGGCCCCACGGCGCCUGGGCCGAUGCGGGUACAACUGCAGUCUCUGUCACCGCGCCCCAGGGGACAGGGCGCCCUGCCUCAGUGCGACCUCCAGACCAGGCAGCCGCCCCACGGGGACCGCAGACCCCAGGCCUGGCCACCCAUCCUCCCUGGACCUGGCCUCACGAACCCAUGCCAGCCUGGACCUGCUAAAAAUACCGGGUACUCACGACUCACGCCCUUAGGGCCUUGCUACAUUGCUCCUUGACCCCAGACUUGUGCUCUUCCCGCAUCGCAUCCCAAGCAGCUGGGUUCCAGUCAACUGAUUACAUCCAGCAGUGGUGACCCGGACUUGGACUGCAGGACCCCGCCCACCGUCGCCAAGAAGGAG